CCUACGGGGGGCAGCAGUGAGGAAUAUUGGUCAAUGGACGAGAGUCUGAACCAGCCAAGUAGCGUGAAGGAUGACUGCCCUAUGGGUUGUAAACUUCUUUUAUAUGGGAAUAAAAUGUUCCACGUGUGGGAUUUUGUAUGUACCAUAUGAAUAAGGACCGGCUAACUCCGUGCCAGAAGCCGCGGUAAUACGGAGGAUCCGAGCGUUAUCCGGAUUUAUUGGGUUUAAAGGGGGCGUAGGGGGAUUGUUAAGUGAGUUGUGAAAGAUUGCGGCUCAACCGGAAAAUUGCAGUUGAAACUGGCAGUCUUGAGUACAGUAGAGGUGGGCGGAAUUCGUGGUGUAGCGGUGAAAUGCGUAGAUAUCACGAAGAACUCCGAUUGCGAAGGCAGCUCACUGGACUGCAACUGACGCUGAGGCUCGAAGGUGUGGGUAGCAAACAGGAUUAGAUACCCUAGUAGUC
RNAcentral lists this ribosomal RNA (460 nucleotides) under uncultured bacterium. Its description in RNAcentral is "partial 16S ribosomal RNA". It matches the Rfam family "Bacterial small subunit ribosomal RNA", at positions 338 to 795 of the family's 1533-position model. The record is from RNAcentral.